Long non-coding RNA from Salvia splendens (bonfire salvia), 996 nucleotides. RefSeq lists it as uncharacterized. Lineage: Eukaryota; Viridiplantae; Streptophyta; Magnoliopsida; Lamiales; Lamiaceae. The transcript is spliced from 5 exons. The record is from RefSeq and is a predicted model, not a curated record.
GCUUCGUUGCAUGUUAGAUAUGUCUGUUCCCAGACAACGAACUAGCUCUGCCGCCUCUCUUGCUGCAUCUUCAAUCUCUUUCUGGAACGCAAUUCUCAGGCUAUAUGGUGCCUGGACACAGUCAGUAGAAGAGGAAGCAAAAUAUAUCUAUCAUGAAACAGCUCUAGGAAAUUCGCUCGAAUCCUGAUCCUGGUUACAAAUAUGAUUCUGUGGAGAAUAAUCAGAAAGACCUGAAUUUCUGAAUGUAGAACACCAUGAAGAGCCAUGACCUCAUAUGUACAAUAUCUGAGGACUGCACCCACCUUCACAUAUUCCGACCAUGGAUAAAAGAUGUGGACGAACCUACCAUGGGGCGGCUCCCAUUUUGCCGAACUUGCCUGAAAAAAAUCAAACAAAUAAAUAAAGAGAAACGAAUGAAAAACAUAUUAUCUUCCUGUGUUGAAUGACUCUGGAAUUUGUACCAAUCCUCAUAAAGAUAGUGGUUCAUCAGGAAAGUCAUCCAUCACAGUCUUUGUAAACUCGGGAUGUUGGCAUCCAUCAUCUUUUAGAUACUUCCCCACACACUCUGAAAAUCACUAGAUGAAAUGAGAAAGCAAAGAUCAUGCAUCAUUGAAAUUUGAUUUAUUCUAGAAUUUUAUUGAUGCAAUAUAAUCGAAUUCUGUACCUUGAAGAGCAUCAGCCAGAGAGGCGAAGUGGCUAACAAUCUCCUUGUGCAACAGUUCCCCAGCCCAUAUAGGAAAGAUGAGCACAUUGACUGCAACUGCAACUAUUGCUCCAAUGGCAAUCGAGUAGAGACGGUCCAUGGCCGUCAUGAUGGGAUUCCCCAUACGAUAUCCAGAAACUAUGAUCAAACAAUAGGUUCAGCAGUUUGUCCUGCUUUCAAGGCUAACUCUGCUAUGACGAUGGCCAAGGCUCCAGCGAGCAGGCUGCCUAGUGCACGGUUGAAUCCUCUAUUAAAAGUUGCACCUUCACACAUAAUGCCAGUGAGUUUAUCGU